GAUGAACGCUGGCGGCGUGCUUAACACAUGCAAGUCGAACGGAAAGGCUCCUGCUUGCAGGGGUACUCGAGUGGCGAACGGGUGAGUAACACGUGGGUGAUCUGCCCUGCACUUCGGGAUAAGCCUGGGAAACUGGGUCUAAUACCGGAUAGGACGAUGGUUUGGAUGCCAUUGUGGAAAGUUUUUCGGUGUGGGUUGAGCUCGGGGCUUUUCAGCUUGUUGGUGGGGUAAUGGCUUACCAAGGGGUCGCCGGGUGGCCGGCCUGGGGGGGGGUAGGGCCACAUGGGGACUGAGAUAGGGCCCAGACUCCAACGGGAGGAAGCAGGGGGGAAUAUGGCACAAUGGGGGCAAGCCGGAUGAAGCGAGGCCGGGGGGGGGAGAACGGCCUUCGGGUGGUAAACCCCUUUGGCUAGGGAGGAAGCGCAAGUGACGGUACCUGGAGAAGAAGCACCGGCUAACUACGUG
This 465-nucleotide ribosomal RNA is filed under the name uncultured bacterium. Its description in RNAcentral is "partial 16S ribosomal RNA". It matches the Rfam family "Bacterial small subunit ribosomal RNA", at positions 28 to 507 of the family's 1533-position model. The record is from RNAcentral.